RNAcentral lists this long non-coding RNA (624 nucleotides) under Brassica napus (rape). Its description in RNAcentral is "long non-coding RNA (BNAP_LNC009402)". The record is from RNAcentral. Lineage: Eukaryota; Viridiplantae; Streptophyta; Magnoliopsida; Brassicales; Brassicaceae.
GGAGUGGGGAGAAGCUCUUGCUUCUGCCUGAGGGUUUACUUAAGCUCAUUGCCUCUCACAUUACCGUUAGUCGUCUAAAUCCACUAACGGUUUGUGCAGGUGCUAAUUGUAUUCAAUUUUGAAAAUACCAGAUUAUAUUAACUUUUCUGCUUAAAAAUUAUUUUAUUAAUAUUUAAAAAGUAAUUAUUAUUAGCUCGCUUUUAUGAACGUAUGGCUCAAUGUUGGUCAAACGAGAGAGAGAGAGAGAGAGAGAGUAACCAAUGUUCUAAAUUGUUCUCUGAUGUGUUGGGCUGCAUAUCGUCUCGCUCUUUUCACAAAUAUUGCUCUGAGCUGUAUAAAGUUUUCUUUUCCUCUUAUAACCAUAGAAAGCCUCUUUUCAAACAAACAAAAAUAAUAUGAGUCUAGGAUUAGACUCUAAUACAACUAAAUCCUAUAUAUGACAAUGCUUUUGAUUUUCUAAAUUUAGGUUUAAAGUUCUGAGGUUUUCAAGGGAUUUAUGGAUUUGUUUUAGAAUCAGACUUUACUAAAUCCACGUAAGUAUUUUUAUCGUUAAUUGCCUGUUUACUUUCUUGAAAUAUUUUGAGCCUGAGAAUUAAAGUGAUUUGUUAUUUAGUGAGCACAAAA